CAGCCGCCGCGGUAAUACAGAGGGUACAAGCGUUAAUCGGAAUUACUGGGCGUAAAGCGCGCGUAGGUGGUUUGUUAAGUUGGAUGUGAAAGCCCCGGGCUCAACCUGGGAACUGCAUCCAAAACUGGCAAGCUAGAGUACGGUAGAGGGUGGUGGAAUUUCCUGUGUAGCGGUAAAAUGCGUAGAUAUAGGAAGGAACACCAGUGGCGAAGGCGACCACCUGGACUGAUACUGACACUGAGGUGCGAAAGCGUGGGGAGCAAACAGGAUUAGAUACCCCAGUAGUCCCUGUCUCUUAUAC
RNAcentral lists this ribosomal RNA (301 nucleotides) under uncultured bacterium. RNAcentral's name for it is "partial 16S ribosomal RNA". It matches the Rfam family "Bacterial small subunit ribosomal RNA", at positions 509 to 807 of the family's 1533-position model. The record is from RNAcentral.